Molecule: ribosomal RNA, 1439 nt
Filed under: uncultured organism
Description: SSU rRNA
Rfam family: Bacterial small subunit ribosomal RNA
Source: RNAcentral
CGCUAGCUACAGGCUUAACACAUGCAAGUCGAGGGGCAGCAUGGUCUUAGCUUGCUAAGGCCGAUGGCGACCGGCGCACGGGUGAGUAACACGUAUCCAACCUGCCGUCUACUCUUGGACAGCCUUCUGAAAGGAAGAUUAAUACAAGAUGGCAUCAUGAGUCCGCAUGUUCACAUGAUUAAAGGUAUUCCGGUAGACGAUGGGGAUGCGUUCCAUUAGAUAGUAGGCGGGGUAACGGCCCACCUAGUCUUCGAUGGAUAGGGGUUCUGAGAGGAAGGUCCCCCACAUUGGAACUGACACACGGUCCAAACUCCUACGGGAGGCAGCAGUGAGGAAUAUUGGUCAAUGGGCGAGAGCCUGAACCAGCCAAGUAGCGUGAAGGAUGACUGCCCUAUGGGUUGUAAACUUCUUUUAUAAAGGAAUAAAGUCGGGUAUGCAUACCCGUUUGCAUGUACUUUAUGAAUAAGGAUCGGCUAACUCCGUGCCAGCAGCCGCGGUAAUACGGAGGAUCCGAGCGUUAUCCGGAUUUAUUGGGUUUAAAGGGAGCGUAGAUGGAUGUUUAAGUCAGUUGUGAAAAGUUUGCGGCUCACCCGUAAAAUUGCAGUUGAUACUGGAUAUCUUGAGUGCAGUUGAGGCAGGCGGAAUUCGUGGUGUAGCGGUGAAAUGCUUAGAUAUCACGAAGAACUCCGAUUGCGAAGGCAGCCUGCUAAGCUGCAACUGACAUUGAGGCUCGAAAGUGUGGGUAUCAAACAGGAUUAGAUACCCUGGUAGUCCACACGGUAAACGAUGAAUACUCGCUGUUUGCGAUAUACAGCAAGCGGCCAAGCGAAAGCGUUAAGUAUUCCACCUGGGGAGUACGCCGGCAACGGUGAAACUCAAAGGAAUUGACGGGGGCCCGCACAAGCGGAGGAACAUGUGGUUUAAUUCGAUGAUACGCGAGGAACCUUACCCGGGCUUAAAUUGCAGAUGAAUUACGGUGAAAGCCGUAAGCCGCAAGGCAUCUGUGAAGGUGUUGCAUGGUUGUCGUCAGCUCGUGCCGUGAGGUGUCGGCUUAAGUGCCAUAACGAGCGCAACCCUUGUUGUCAGUUACUAACAGGUUCCGCUGAGGACUCUGACAAGACUGCCAUCGUAAGAUGUGAGGAAGGUGGGGAUGACGUCAAAUCAGCACGGCCCUUACGUCCGGGGCUACACACGUGUUACAAUGGGGGGGUACAGAGGGCCGCUACCACGCGAGUGGAUGCCAAUCCCAAAAACCUCUCUCAGUUCGGACUGGAGUCUGCAACCCGACUCCACGAAGCUGGAUUCGCUAGUAAUCGCGCAUCAGCCACGGCGCGGUGAAUACGUUCCCGGGCCUUGUACACACCGCCCGUCAAGCCAUGGGAGCCGGGGGUACCUGAAGUGCGUAACCGCGAGGAGCGCCCUAGGGUAAAACUGGUGAA